GAAUUCACUAGUGAUUCAGGCCUAACACAUGCAAGUCGAGCGGUAGAGAGAAGCUUGCUUCUCUUGAGAGCGGCGGACGGGUGAGUAAUGCCUAGGAAUCUGCCUGGUAGUGGGGGAUAACGUUCGGAAACGGACGCUAAUACCGCAUACGUCCUACGGGAGAAAGCAGGGGACCUUCGGGCCUUGCGCUAUCAGAUGAGCCUAGGUCGGAUUAGCUAGUUGGUGAGGUAAUGGCUCACCAAGGCUACGAUCCGUAACUGGUCUGAGAGGAUGAUCAGUCACACUGGAACUGAGACACGGUCCAGACUCCUACGGGAGGCAGCAGUGGGGAAUAUUGGCCAAUGGGCGAAAGCCU
This 355-nucleotide ribosomal RNA is filed under the name uncultured bacterium. RNAcentral describes it as "bacterial SSU rRNA". It matches the Rfam family "Bacterial small subunit ribosomal RNA", at positions 43 to 384 of the family's 1533-position model. The record is from RNAcentral.